UGUGCGUACCAAAAAAACUAAACUUCAGCGAGUAUUUAAGUUCGCUUCGCAAUAUACUAUAUAUGUACUUUACUAAUUCAAAAUUUGUCUAAGCUCAACGAAGAAAAAAGCUCGCUUCCACAAGAAAAUUAAAUUGAAAUUGUUUUUUUCACUUAGGUUUUCUUUUAGUUGUUUAAUUUUUUUUCCGCGCCCUAGUCGCUUAUACACUAGACUUAUCUGUGAUCCGCUUGCACAAGCGUCCGCUUGCAAAUAAACAAAAAUACCCAGCUUCCAACUCGGCUUCGUUCACUCCACUACGUUCCGCCACGAACCUGUUUUUUUCCAGAACGCCUUCUAUUUAAAUCUA
Long non-coding RNA from Rhagoletis zephyria (snowberry fruit fly), 346 nucleotides. RefSeq lists it as uncharacterized. The record is from RefSeq and is a predicted model, not a curated record. NCBI's taxonomy places the organism in Eukaryota, Metazoa, Arthropoda, Insecta, Diptera, Tephritidae.